CGAAGAUAUGUCUCGUGAUGAUAUCAGGAUGUUGCUAAGGAACAAAAACUUUAAUGGGCUUCAUUCCAUACGGUAUGUCUCAUCCUGAUUGUUCAACUCACGUGCCUGAGGCCCUUGUAGACAACUUCAAAGGUUAAACUAAUUCCUAGGCUGUAUGUCAAGUGUUGGUUCACCAUUUUUAAUCUCUAGUUAUCCAGCCUUGCCUCUCCAGAUGUUGUUGAUAUGCAUUUCCCAUAAUCCUGUGAGUGUCAGGGGACAACUGUUGGCGG
Pelobates cultripes (western spadefoot toad) is the source of this 269-nucleotide non-coding RNA. Lineage: Eukaryota; Metazoa; Chordata; Amphibia; Anura; Pelobatidae. The record is from the annotation of a GenBank genome assembly.